RNAcentral lists this ribosomal RNA (16 nucleotides) under Asemeia acuminata. RNAcentral's name for it is "partial 26S ribosomal RNA". The record is from RNAcentral. Lineage: Eukaryota; Viridiplantae; Streptophyta; Magnoliopsida; Fabales; Polygalaceae.
ACGCGACCCCAGGUCU